CCUACGGGAGGCAGCAGUAGGGAAUAUUGCUCAAUGGGGGCAACCCUGACGCAGCAACGCCGCGUGGAGGAAGAAGGUUUUCGGAUUGUAAACUUCUUUUGUCAGAGACGAUAAUGACGGUAUCUCCUGACUAAUCACCGGCUACCUCCUUCCCAGCAGCCGCGGUAAUACGGCGGGUGCAAGAGUUACUCGGAUUCAUUGGGCGUAAAGGGCGCCUAGGCGGGAUUGCAAGUCAGAUGUGAAAUCCUAUGGCUUAACCAGAGAACUGCAGUUGAAACUGUAAUUCUAGAGUAUGGGAGAGGUAGGCGGAAUUCUUAGUGUAGGGGUGAAAUCCGUAGAGAUCAGGAGGAAUACUAGUUGCGAAGGCGACCUGCUAGA
RNAcentral lists this ribosomal RNA (378 nucleotides) under uncultured bacterium. RNAcentral describes it as "partial 16S ribosomal RNA". It matches the Rfam family "Bacterial small subunit ribosomal RNA", at positions 338 to 733 of the family's 1533-position model. The record is from RNAcentral.